RNAcentral lists this long non-coding RNA (487 nucleotides) under Gossypium barbadense (sea-island cotton). RNAcentral's name for it is "long non-coding RNA (GBAR_LNC001234)". Lineage: Eukaryota; Viridiplantae; Streptophyta; Magnoliopsida; Malvales; Malvaceae. The record is from RNAcentral.
UAAAAGGCGCCGAGGACAUGGGGGACCGAUUGCGCAAUAUUCCCUGUUUGAGUAAAACAAAAACUGUAUUGAAUGUGCCGCAGAAAUGGAGGGACCAAAGGUGAAAAAUACCCAUUAUGGCAAUAAUGUGCAGAUUUUCCUCCCUUAAACGACGCAGUUUAGAAUCUUGUAUAAAUAGAAAAAGAUAAAGCCCUAAAAAGCAUCAGCCUCCAUUUCCCUUUUUUUUAAAAAAAAAAAACUGAGGAUUUCAAAUCCUCUCAACUCCCAUUCCUCGGUCGUUCCGAUUCGCCGCCACGGCCGGUGGCCGGCGUCGCGCAAAGGGGGCUCCCGAUCCGCACGUUGAAGCACCUUUAAAGGUUCGAGCCUUGGAAAGGGGAAUCGAGGAGAACACAAGAUCUUUGGCCCCCUCUCAAGCCCGAAUCCGACGACGGCAAAGGACCAUCGCCGGCCGGUCUAAGGGCCGAUUCAGGUGCACUCCCUCUUCCUU